UACGGAGGGUGCAAGCGUUAAUCGGAAUUACUGGGCGUAAAGCGCGCGUAGGCGGUUUGCUAAGUCAGAUGUGAAAUCCCCGGGCUCAACCUGGGAAUGGCAUUUGAGACUGGUAGGCUAGAAUGUGGUAGAGGUGAGUGGAAUUCCAGGUGGUAGCGGUGAAAUGCGUAGAGAUCUGGAGGAACAUCAGUGGCGAAGGCGACUCACUGGGCCUUAUUGGACGCUGAGGUGCGAAAGCGUGGGUAGCAAACAGGAUUAGAUACCCGGGUGUCC
Molecule: ribosomal RNA, 273 nt
Filed under: uncultured bacterium
Lineage: Bacteria
Description: partial 16S ribosomal RNA
Rfam family: Bacterial small subunit ribosomal RNA
Source: RNAcentral